AGAGACAAAGGAGCCACAGAGACAUAGACAUGGAUCUGGGAAAUACACCUUUUGCUACUCGUUCAGUUUUAGCAAGGAGGUUUCUGGCAUGGCUAAGCAAAACUUAAACUUCCUCUGAGAAUUACAGGAAUUACAGGACCUGACAAAGCUAUAAAACCUAUAGGAAGAAAAUCUCAACCAGAAACAGUAUGGCAGAAUUGGGAUCUGACUCACAGAGGGAAGAACUUAUAAUUCUUCACAGGGCACAUAGAAGCAUGAGAAUUUGGGUUCAAGCAAGUAAAUUCUAAAUUAGAAUCCAUACAUAAAGUGUUUGCAAUGUCCAGUUAUAUCUCCAUGAUAUUUUCUUUGUGGAAGUUGAUUGUUCUUCCUUACAAUAAAUUGCUUGAAUUGUCUGUCUAUUCAUUUAGCUAUUUCUUUUCUUGACUUUGCGAUAUUUUUUUUUGUAAGUAAAAAAUUUUCAGACUAAAUAA
Molecule: long non-coding RNA, 470 nt
Filed under: Pan troglodytes (chimpanzee)
Lineage: Eukaryota; Metazoa; Chordata; Mammalia; Primates; Hominidae
Description: lincRNA
Source: RNAcentral